ACUCCUACGGGAGGCAGCAGUGGGGAAUUUUGGACAAUGGGCGAAAGCCUGAUCCAGCAAUGCCGCGUGCAGGAUGAAGGCCUUCGGGUUGUAAACUGCUUUUGUACGGAACGAAAAAGCUCCUUCUAAUACAGGGGGCCCAUGACGGUACCGUAAGAAUAAGCACCGGCUAACUACGUGCCAGCAGCCGCGGUAAUACGUAGGGUGCGAGCGUUAAUCGGAAUUACUGGGCGUAAAGCGUGCGCAGGCGGUUAUGUAAGACAGAUGUGAAAUCCCCGGGCUCAACCUGGGAACUGCAUUUGUGACUGCAUGGCUAGAGUACGGUAGAGGGGGAUGGAAUUCCGCGUGUAGCAGUGAAAUGCGUAGAUAUGCGGAGGAACACCGAUGGCGAAGGCAAUCCCCUGGACCUGUACUGACGCUCAUGCACGAAAGCGUGGGGAGCAAACAGGAUUAGAUACCCCAGUAGUCCCAUGA
Molecule: ribosomal RNA, 474 nt
Filed under: uncultured organism
Description: partial 16S ribosomal RNA
Rfam family: Bacterial small subunit ribosomal RNA
Source: RNAcentral